UACGUAGGGUGCAAGCGUUAUCCGGAAUUAUUGGGCGUAAAGAGCGUGUAGGCGGCCACGCAGGUCCGUUGUGAAAACUGGAGGCUCAACCUCCAGACGUCGACGGAAACCGUAUGGCUAGAGUCCGGAAGAGGAGAGUGGAAUUCCUGGUGUAGCGGUGAAAUGCGCAGAUAUCAGGAAGAACACCAAUGGCGAAGGCAGCUCUCUGGGACGGUACUGACGCUGAGACGCGAAAGCGUGGGGAGCGAACAGG
Molecule: ribosomal RNA, 253 nt
Filed under: uncultured bacterium
Lineage: Bacteria
Description: partial 16S ribosomal RNA
Rfam family: Bacterial small subunit ribosomal RNA
Source: RNAcentral